Molecule: transfer RNA, 81 nt
Filed under: Oceanospirillaceae bacterium
Lineage: Bacteria; Pseudomonadati; Pseudomonadota; Gammaproteobacteria; Oceanospirillales; Oceanospirillaceae
Description: tRNA-Lys
Rfam family: tRNA
About the family: Transfer RNA (tRNA) molecules are approximately 80 nucleotides in length. Their secondary structure includes four short double-helical elements and three loops (D, anti-codon, and T loops).
Source: RNAcentral
GAUUUGUAUGGAUAAAGGAAAGUCUUCAGAUAUUGGCUUUUAACCAAUUGGUCGAAGGUUCGAAUCCUUCACGACCCACCA